This 670-nucleotide ribosomal RNA is filed under the name uncultured Campylobacterota bacterium. Its description in RNAcentral is "bacterial SSU rRNA". It matches the Rfam family "Bacterial small subunit ribosomal RNA", at positions 8 to 692 of the family's 1533-position model. Lineage: Bacteria; Pseudomonadati; Campylobacterota. The record is from RNAcentral.
AGAGUUUGAUCCUGGCUCAGAGUGAACGCUGGUGGCGUGCUUAACACAUGCAAGUCGAACGGUAACAGAGAGUACUUGUACUCUGCUGACGAGUGGCGCACGGGUGAGUAAUAUAUAGUUAAUCUGCCUCAAAGACUGGGAUAGCCAUUGGAAACGAUGAUUAAUACUAGAUAGUCCAUUUAUACAUAAGUAUAAUUGGUAAAUGUUUUUUCGCUUUGAGAUGAGACUAUAUCGCAUCAGUUAGUUGGUGGGGUAAGAGCCUACCAAGACAAUGACGCGUAGCGGGUUUGAGAGGAUGAUCCGCCACACUGGUAUUGAGACACGGACCAGACUCCUACGGGAGGCAGCAGUGAGGAAUAUUGCACAAUGGGGGAAACCCUGAUGCAGCAACGCCGCGUGGAGGAUGACGCAUUUCGGUGUGUAAACUCCUUUUAUAUGUCAAGAAAAUGACGGUAGCAUAUGAAUAAGCACCGGCUAACUCCGUGCCAGCAGCCGCGGUAAUACGGAGGGUGCAAGCGUUACUCGGAAUCACUGGGCGUAAAGGACGCGUAGGCGGGCUAAAAAGUCAGGUGUGAAAGCCUACAGCUUAACUGUAGAACUGCACUUGAAACUCUUAGCCUAGAGUAUGGGAGGGGGAGAUGGAAUUAGUGGUGUAGGGGUAAAAUCCGUA